Microtus oregoni (creeping vole) is the source of this 345-nucleotide long non-coding RNA. RefSeq lists it as uncharacterized. The record is from RefSeq and is a predicted model, not a curated record. The transcript has 3 exons. Lineage: Eukaryota; Metazoa; Chordata; Mammalia; Rodentia; Cricetidae.
CCAGAGCUAACUCUGUGCUGCUACAAGAUGACAGUCUCACAACAACAGGAAACAGAACAGGGAUGCUGUCUGAGAGAAGAUAUGAGGGACCUCUCUAUUUGGAUAGGACCAGAGCCCAUGAUCUGGAAGAUAGAAGACCCAGUGGAAUCUGAUGAACUUGGAUUCAAUGUGUAUUUAGUUCUCACUGCUUAACAUAUGAGUCUCCAAUCUCCCAAAGGAUUAGAACUGAGACUCACCAUGGGGAUGAUCCAACCAUAUUCAUCAUUGGUGACACCAAUGAUGCUGGGGACAGGACGAAAAUCCACAGAAGCCAACAACUCUUGGGGAUGCUUGGGUAGGAAUACC